AACCAUAGAAACCUGCGGAGUACCUGCGGAAGGAUCAUUACAGAGUUGCAAAACUCCCUAAACCAUUGUGAACGUUACCUAGACCGUUGCUUCGGCGGGCGGCCCGGGUCCUUCCCGGCGCCCAUCGGCCCUCGCGGGCGCCCGCCGGAGGUAAACCAAACUAUUGCAUUGUAUGGCCUCUCUGAGUCUUCUGUACUGAAUAAGUCAAAACUUUCAACAACGGAUCUCAGAUCGGAAGAG
Molecule: unclassified non-coding RNA, 240 nt
Filed under: soil metagenome
Description: partial contains 5.8S ribosomal RNA, internal transcribed spacer 2, and large subunit ribosomal RNA
Source: RNAcentral